GACGAACGCUGGCGGCGUGCCUAAUACAUGCAAGUCGAGCGGACGAAUCGAAAGCUUGCUCUUGCGUCGUUAGCGGCGGACGGGUGAGUAACACGUGGGCAACCUGCCCUGUAGACGGGGAUAACACCGAGAAAUCGGUGCUAAUACCGGAUAACACGACAUGUCGCAUGACGUUUCGUUGAAAGACGGCGCAAGCUGUCGCUACAGGAUGGGCCCGCGGCGCUUUAGCUAGUUGGUGAGGUAACGGCUCACCAAAGCGGGGAUGCGUAGCCGCCCCGAGAGCGAGAUCGCACACACUGGGACUGAGGAACGGCCCAGACUCCGACGGGAGGCAGCAGUCAGGAAUCUUCCGCGAUGGAGGAGAGUCGGAUGGAGCAAAGCCGCGGGAGGGAAGAAGGCCUUCGGGUCGUAAAGCUAUGUUGUUAGGGAAGAACUAGUGCCGUAGUAACUGGCGUGAUAGUGACGGUACCUAAAGAGAAAGCCACGGCUAACUACGUG
Molecule: ribosomal RNA, 498 nt
Filed under: uncultured bacterium
Lineage: Bacteria
Description: partial 16S ribosomal RNA
Rfam family: Bacterial small subunit ribosomal RNA
Source: RNAcentral